This 453-nucleotide ribosomal RNA is filed under the name uncultured Pseudomonas sp. Its description in RNAcentral is "bacterial SSU rRNA". It matches the Rfam family "Bacterial small subunit ribosomal RNA", at positions 930 to 1382 of the family's 1533-position model. The record is from RNAcentral. Lineage: Bacteria; Pseudomonadati; Pseudomonadota; Gammaproteobacteria; Pseudomonadales; Pseudomonadaceae.
CGGUGGAGCAUGUGGUUUAAUUCGAAGCAACGCGAAGAACCUUACCAGGCCUUGACAUGCAGAGAACUUUCCAGAGAUGGAUUGGUGCCUUCGGGAACUCUGACACAGGUGCUGCAUGGCUGUCGUCAGCUCGUGUCGUGAGAUGUUGGGUUAAGUCCGUAACGAGCGCAACCCUUGUCCUUAGUUACCAGCACGUUAAGGUGGGCACUCUAAGGAGACUGCCGGUGACAAACCGGAGGAAGGUGGGGAGUGACGUCAAGUCAUCAUGGCCCUUACGGCCUGGGCUACACACGUGCUACAAUGGUCGAUACAAAGGGUUGCCAAGCCGCGAGGUGGAGCUAAUCCCAUAAAACCGAUCGUAGUCCGGAUCGCAGUCUGCAACUCGACUGCGUGAGGUCGGAAUCGCUAGUAAUCGUGAAUCAGAAUGUCACGGUGAAUACGUUCCCGGGCCUU